GAGUGAACGCUGGCGGUAGGCCUAACCCAUGCAAGUCGAACGGCAGCACAGUAAGAGCUUGCUCUUACGGGUGGCGAGUGGCGGACGGGUGAGGAAUACAUCGGAAUCUACUUUUUCGUGGGGGAUAACGUAGGGAAACUUACGCUAAUACCGCAUACGACCUACGGGUGAAAGCAGGGGAUCUUCGGACCUUGCGCGAUUGAAUGAGCCGAUGUCGGAUUAGCUAGUUGGCGGGGUAAAGGCCCACCAAGGCGACGAUCCGUAGCUGGUCUGAGAGGAUGAUCAGCCACACUGGAACUGAGACACGGUCCAGACUCCUACGGGAGGCAGCAGUGGGGAAUAUUGGACAAUGGGCGCAAGCCUGAUCCAGCCAUACCGCGUGGGUGAAGAAGGCCUUCGGGUUGUAAAGCCCUUUUGUUGGGAAAGAAAAGCAGCAGGUUAAUACCCCGCUGUUCUGACGGUACCCAAAGAAUAGGCACCGGCUAACUUCGUG
Molecule: ribosomal RNA, 493 nt
Filed under: uncultured bacterium
Lineage: Bacteria
Description: partial 16S ribosomal RNA
Rfam family: Bacterial small subunit ribosomal RNA
Source: RNAcentral